UGGGGAAUAUUGGACAAUGGGCGAAAGCCUGAUCCAGCCAUGCCGCGUGUGUGAAGAAGGUCUUCGGAUUGUAAAGCACUUUAAGUUGGGAGGAAGGGCAGUAAGCGAAUACCUUGCUGUUUUGACGUUACCGACAGAAUAAGCACCGGCUAACUCUGUGCCAGCAGCCGCGGUAAUACAGAGGGUGCAAGCGUUAAUCGGAAUUACUGGGCGUAAAGCGCGCGUAGGUGGUUCGUUAAGUUGAAUGUGAAAGCCCCGGGCUCAACCUGGGAACUGCAUCCAAAACUGGCGAGCUAGUGUAGGGCAGAGGAUGGUGGAAUUUCCUGUGUAGCGGUGAAAUGCGUAGAUAUAGGAAGGAACACCAGUGGCGAAGGCGACCACCUGGGCUCAUACUGACACUGAGGUGCGAAAGCGUGGGGAGCAAACAGG
Molecule: ribosomal RNA, 429 nt
Filed under: Pseudomonadota bacterium
Lineage: Bacteria; Pseudomonadati; Pseudomonadota
Description: Proteobacteria bacterium partial 16S ribosomal RNA
Rfam family: Bacterial small subunit ribosomal RNA
Source: RNAcentral